CAAGAGAGGCUUUCCUGUAAGUGACAGCAUCUUCAAUUACUCUGGACAGAUCAGGAGCAAUCUUACUGACAGCCAAAAUCAACUUCCUUCCUGCUUUGUCGUCUUUAAUACCUGCCUCUUUGGCCACAUACUGGAAUUUCACAGCAAACGCAGCCAUGUCCUCACCGGGUUUCAGCUCCAUACUGUUCAGUUGCACUUCCAUGUCACCUGCAAUGUGCUUAAAUUCAUCUGACACGGCUUUGAGCAAGAGAUGGAACCGUGCAUCUUCAUCUUCAGUUUGUAAAGCAGCUGUGGUGAGAAUGUGCUGCUUUUCACCUUUGAACCAGGUACAAGCGUACGAAUCAUAAGGAAAAG
RNAcentral lists this long non-coding RNA (354 nucleotides) under Dunaliella salina. Its description in RNAcentral is "long non-coding RNA (DSAL_LNC000264)". Lineage: Eukaryota; Viridiplantae; Chlorophyta; Chlorophyceae; Chlamydomonadales; Dunaliellaceae. The record is from RNAcentral.